UAUUGGUCCUUUCGCGACGAUAAAUUGUGAACCCCGUCAGGCCCGGAAGGGAGCAGCGGUAACAAUCAAUGCGAGCGCCGAAAUGCGGCUCUUAGAG
RNAcentral lists this signal recognition particle RNA (97 nucleotides) under Legionellales bacterium RIFCSPHIGHO2_12_FULL_42_9. Its description in RNAcentral is "signal recognition particle sRNA small type". It matches the Rfam family "Bacterial small signal recognition particle RNA". Rfam says of the family: The signal recognition particle (SRP) is a universally conserved ribonucleoprotein involved in the co-translational targeting of proteins to membranes. Archaeal SRP consists of a 7S RNA and homologues of the eukaryotic SRP19 and SRP54 proteins. Lineage: Bacteria; Pseudomonadati; Pseudomonadota; Gammaproteobacteria; Legionellales. The record is from RNAcentral.